Molecule: long non-coding RNA, 2098 nt
Organism: Spinacia oleracea (spinach)
Lineage: Eukaryota; Viridiplantae; Streptophyta; Magnoliopsida; Caryophyllales; Amaranthaceae
Exons: 6
Source: RefSeq, a predicted model, not a curated record
AUUUCAGAUAUGAUAGAAGUACUGUAGACUACCCUACAUUAAUUCGCCGCUCAGCUCCUCACUUUCUCUCUCAUCCUCUUCUUAGAAACUCCAUUUUCGACGGCGACUUCAUCUGAAAUCUCCUCUAACCAACCUAUCUUAAUUUGUUCGUUUUAGUGAAUAAGCAAAACCCUAGGAUCCGCGGCGAAGAAGGAGACAUCGAUCUCAAAGCAGUACAUCUCGAUUUAUGAAGGUUCACCCAUUUUUGAAGGUUGGGAUCUCCGAUUCACCUUGUCGCCGUCCUUGAAGCUUUCCCCUUGUUAUCAAACUCAAAUUGUUAAACCUCCCCAUCUUUCGUGGUUGUCGAAUCACCAUAAAUUGAAUCUUCUAGGGCUUCCUAAAGCAUCAAGGAGUACCGAGAUUUGUUGCUCUCUUGCUCCCAAUCAAGUUCAAACUCCGGUUGUUGUUCCUACUGGUGUCCAGAGCAUCAAGCCUGAAUGCUAUGGAGUUUUCUGCUGGACUUACGAUUUGAAAAAGGAGGAGGAGACCAGAUCAUGGAAGAAAAUGAUCACAAUUGCCAUUUCAGGUGAGGGAAAUUGAUCGAGAAUCAUAUACAGAGCCAGAGACAGUUCACAACAUACAGAGACGAAGCAGACUGUUGCUGUCGACCUGUCUAAGAGGUUAACCAAUGCCCGCACUUUUACUGAUGCAGCUAGCAUAAAACAAGGUUCUGAUAUUUACGGUGCUGCAGUUCUAGAUGCUUGUGAGCAAAUAAAAGCAAGGAUGGAUCCGAUUGCUUCAAAACGAUAGUAACUUUGCAUUUCUUUUUCUUUUUUAAAAAAUAUCUGAAGAGAAUAGACCUGGAGAAAUUUGAAUAAGUUAGAGACCAUCUCAUAAUUUUCUCUCUCCUACCUUCCUUUCUAUAUCUACCUGAUUUUGCGGAUUUUUUAUGUUAAUUGAUUUGGGUGAAAAUCGGGAUUUCAUUAGUGAUUGUUGUGAAUUUUUUUAUGUGAAUUGAUUUGGGUGAAAAUAGGGAUUUGAUUUUCGAUGCUUCUUUGUUGUUGAUUAAGUUUAAUCAUAGUGUUUAGAUACUUCUCAUAUGUUCUUUGAAUCAGGAUUUGAAUUGUGUUGUUCUGUGAUUUAACAAUGAGCUUUCAGUUUUCAAAUGUAAAUUAGCUUGAAUUUGUAUUAUUCUUGGACCAUACCCAGUAAACCAAAUAUGGCCUAGAGGCAGCCAUAAACAAUGAACUGUGAACCCAUUUCAUGAACAACCAAAAGUUCAAGCUCCUUCUCAAUUUCAGUUGGUUAAUACCCUUAAGGAUACCUAAUUACACAUAUAUUUGAUCUGUAUCAAUGCCUUGUAACUGGUCACAAUCUUAACUUGGUAAAUUUGCCUGUGGGGUGACAUCUCCUGCUGUUUGAAAUGACUGUAUCAACAAUGACUCUGAACCUUUCUGUAUCAAUAAUGACUCCGACCCUUUCUGUAUACAUGGUAGUUAAUGGUGGUUCUAGAAAACAUAGUGUGAUUUUGUGCUGGACUGCUGAAUAGAUGAUGGAUGAUAUGCAGGUAUGAAUUAGGUACUUCCACUAAUUUUCAUUUUUCUCCGUUCUUCUGGACAAGUUAGAUAUAUAUAGAGCUUGUUUAAUCCAUAAACAAGUCAUAGAAGAGUUAAUUGGAUCUUAUCUGAAUUCAUUGGCCUUUAUAAUAUCGUUUAAAAAUGGAACAUAUUUUAACAUAAUAUAGUUAUUGCUGCACCCCUGCUUUCAGUUUUGCAUGAUAAGAGAACCGCUUUGCUAGUGGCUGAUUUCGUGAAGGUUGGUUUUCUACUCAUGAUCUGUACACCAAAACCAAUUUGACUGACAUACUAAAUGCACUUUUCUCAUCACUUGCUAUGCCUUGGCCUUGAUUGUUGGGACGUUGCUCGAUACUACACUAGAAGCAAGGGAAACGUUAGAGGAUUCCGGGCAGCAGCAAUUUUUUUUUUUUUUUUUGUUGGGUGUCAAGAGAAACCGUUAGAUGGAAUAUAUUGUUGUAGAUAUUUCAAGCUUUUGUAUUGUAAGUCUUACUGAUUUGAUGUGGUUCUAUUUAAUAAUAUGAGUUGUCCAUUUUACUAUAUAA